UGGGGAAUAUUGCACAAUGGGCGCAAGCCUGAUGCAGCGACGCCGCGUGCGGGAUGGAGGCCUUGGGUUGUAAACCGCUUUGUUCAAGGGCAAGGCACGGUCUUUGGCCGUGUUGAGUGGAUUGUUCGAAUAAGCACCGGCUAACUACGUGCC
RNAcentral lists this ribosomal RNA (153 nucleotides) under uncultured bacterium. RNAcentral's name for it is "partial 16S ribosomal RNA". It matches the Rfam family "Bacterial small subunit ribosomal RNA", at positions 355 to 509 of the family's 1533-position model. The record is from RNAcentral.